CUGCUACGCGCAGUGCCAUGC
Molecule: microRNA, 21 nt
Filed under: Caenorhabditis elegans
Lineage: Eukaryota; Metazoa; Nematoda; Chromadorea; Rhabditida; Rhabditidae
Description: cel-miR-65-3p
Gene: cel-miR-65-3p
Source: miRBase by way of RNAcentral